This is a long non-coding RNA of Helianthus annuus (common sunflower), 847 nucleotides long. RefSeq lists it as uncharacterized. The transcript is spliced from 3 exons. Lineage: Eukaryota; Viridiplantae; Streptophyta; Magnoliopsida; Asterales; Asteraceae. The record is from RefSeq and is a predicted model, not a curated record.
UCAAACACAGAGGGGCGACACAGGAUUCCUCAAACCCUAAACUCAACAAAUCUCACAAAUUGAAGGCAAAAAUCGGUUCUAAAACAAAAUCUGAGCAUAGAUUGGUGAUCUCCUCUGAAAAAGGGUCAUAAGUUUGACUCUUGACAAGCUAGAUGGAGGCUUGGGAAUGAAGCGGGUCAAAUGGAGCAAGUACGAAAAGGAAAGCGUAAUUUGGAUGCGAGGUAAGUAAAAGCUUACACCCUUUUUAGUAUACAUCAGUUGUGUGUAUUGAAAAUGAAUAAGGAAAAGUUAGUAAUAGAGUUAUAAUGUUCCAACGCAAAUAAUAUGAGUCGGAACUAGUGCAAUGGUGAGAAAUCAUAAACAAUGGCAAAAAGGGUAAAUUGGUAAAUUAGUCAUAUGACGAUGAACUAAUAAGAAAUUUUGAAACACUACGUUAUGGUGUAAACUGGAAUGGGUAAAAGGGCGAGAUGGUAACUAGAUAUCAUCUCAUAACAGAAAAGGGUUGUUCGGACUAAACGGGUCAAAUGACAUUGGCGAGAUCAUUUGACAAUAUUAAUUGAUAAUCGCUUGUUGAGUUUUGUGAUUACAGGAAAUAUCAUACGGUUCGCGUUGGUAUUAAUUAGAAACUAAUAGUGAAAGAUAUUUAAACGGGUCAAUCCUAUGACUCAAGCCAGGUGAGUAUAGCAAGCAUCCGGAAGACGAUCAAGCAAUCAAGGGAACCGAACACAUGUCAAAUGAAGCUUCCGCAAUGACUUAUGUUGUUUUCGUUUUAAGUGAACUAUGUAAACAUUUGGAACUAUAUUUUGUUUACUUUAAACACGUAUGAACUCUGACUUGACAAAGUUUU